RNAcentral lists this ribosomal RNA (468 nucleotides) under uncultured bacterium. RNAcentral's name for it is "partial 16S ribosomal RNA". It matches the Rfam family "Bacterial small subunit ribosomal RNA", at positions 28 to 507 of the family's 1533-position model. The record is from RNAcentral.
GACGAACGCUGGCGGCGUGCUUAACACAUGCAAGUCGAACGGAAAGGCCCUGCUUUUGUGGGGUGCUCGAGUGGCGAACGGGUGAGUAACACGUGAGUAACCUGCCCUUGACUUUGGGAUAACUUCAGGAAACUGGGGCUAAUACCGGAUAGGAGCUCCUGCUGCAUGGUGGGGGUUGGAAAGUUUCGGCGGUUGGGGAUGGACUCGCGGCUUAUCAGCUUGUUGGUGGGGUAGUGGCUUACCAAGGCUUUGACGGGUAGCCGGCCUGAGAGGGUGACCGGCCACAUUGGGACUGAGAUACGGCCCAGACUCCUACGGGAGGCAGGAGUGGGGAAUAUUGCACAAUGGGCGGAAGCCUGAUGCAGCAACGCCGCGUGCGGGAUGGCGGCCUUCGGGUUGUAAACCGCUUUCGCCUGUGACGAAGCGUGAGUGACGGUAAUGGGUAAAGAAGCACCGGCUAACUACGUG